GGCUGCAAUCCUAUGUAUUGAGCUUGGGCUGCAUGCUUAUGCACCAUCCACUUAUUUGGAUGGUGUAGAUUUUUUCCACCACCCCAUGAGGGAAACUGGAGCACCGGAAGCCCUAGAUACAACCCGCACAAUUUUUGCUCGCCAUGUAACGAAAUUUUGCUGAAAUGUGAGAGCCUUAGCCCCACGCAAUCUAACAACCUAUGCACAAAACCAACGAAAUUUUGGUGAAAUAAAUCAAACCGUUCCCACGAAAAUUAGAGGUUUUCCUAAUAGAGAGAAAGACUCCGUUCUAGAGAGAGAAAGGGAGAUAACAAACAUUGUUACCUUGAUCACUGAAGAAUACGAGAUGGCUAAAGGAUUGAAAACAGAGUGGAGGGCAACAAUCUCAUUCCCAUCUCUCGAGAAUGGUUGAAUGGCUUCACCAUCAAAUAGAGAUGUGUAGGUCAAGAUUUACAUUCACGGUUUUGUGACGAAAGUAAGAAAUUUAUCUCUGAAUGCCUGUUGAUUGCUUUGGAUGUAUCAAUCAUUUUAUUUUUGGUUUGUGCAAAGUUCAGAAAUGCAAGAUUUUGAUAUGCAAUAAAAAAAAAAAAUCAUCGAAUGAAAAUACCUUGUCAAAAAAAAUGAAAAUUAGGUUUUUCUUAAAAAUAUCAGCCAAAUUUGCGAGCUAAGCGGGUGUUCUCUCAUUCUCCCUUCUUGCAGUAGAUUUUAAAGCAGCUCUAUUUCUCUCUCUUCAAUUAAAAUAGUAACCCAAUUUAAAAGCCACAGGACUAUCUACUCCACCAUCCUCAAUGCUAUGGUGCUCUUCUCUCUACCCAUCAUCCCCUUCAUUCUCUACAUCUUCUCCUUACCUUCUCAUUAAAUUCCUUCUAGUUGACUUUGAACCCUAAAUAUGCGAACUAUGUAGUUUAUC
RNAcentral lists this long non-coding RNA (910 nucleotides) under Amborella trichopoda. Its description in RNAcentral is "long non-coding RNA (ATRI_LNC004507)". Lineage: Eukaryota; Viridiplantae; Streptophyta; Magnoliopsida; Amborellales; Amborellaceae. The record is from RNAcentral.